This 272-nucleotide long non-coding RNA is filed under the name Pollicipes pollicipes. RNAcentral describes it as "uncharacterized LOC119112216". The record is from RNAcentral. Lineage: Eukaryota; Metazoa; Arthropoda; Thecostraca; Pollicipedomorpha; Pollicipedidae.
CCUGGCCGAGGCGGCCGAGCUGCGGGCCCAGCUGGAGGCGGCGCACCAGGAGCGCGACGCCAUGCUGCAGGACCUGCGCGUCACCCAGGACAAGGAGGAGGAUCACCAGCAGCGCAUCUGUGAGCUGGAGACCACCCUCCUGGGCCUGGAGGAGUCGCUCAACAAGCUGGAGCACUGCAACGAGACGCUGCAGCACCAGUUGGCCAACGCCAGCGCCGCCGAGCCGCACGACAGUGAGGAGCUGGCCAAGCUGAAGCAGUCGCAGCUGGUGC